This 651-nucleotide ribosomal RNA is filed under the name Myoictis wavicus. RNAcentral describes it as "partial 16S ribosomal RNA". It matches the Rfam family "Bacterial large subunit ribosomal RNA", at positions 1952 to 2858 of the family's 2925-position model. The record is from RNAcentral. Lineage: Eukaryota; Metazoa; Chordata; Mammalia; Dasyuromorphia; Dasyuridae.
AAAGGUAGCAUAAUCACUUGUCUCUUAAUUGGGGACUAGUAUGAAUGGCAUAACGAGGGCUCAACUGUCUCUUAUUCCCAAUCAGUGAAAUUGACCUUCCCGUGCAGAGGCGGGAAUUAUUAUACAAGACGAGAAGACCUGUGGAGCUUAAGUCAAAUAACUCAAGACAUACUGACACACAACCGACCGGAACAACCUGUAUAACCCCCUGAGUUAUGGUCUUUGGUUGGGGUGAUCUCGGAGCAUAAAACAACCUCCGAAUGAAAAUAACCAAGAUUAACUAAUCUAAGUGUAAUAACACCAGUAAUUGACCCAUCUUUUGAUCAACGGAACAAGUUACCCCAGGGAUAACAGCGCAAUCCUAUUUGAGAGGCCAUAUCGGAAAUAAGGGUUUACGGCCUCGAUGUUGGAUCAGGACAUCCAAAUGGUGCAACCGCUAUUAAAGGUUCGUUUGUUCAACGAUUAAAGUCCUACGUGAUCUGAGUUCAGACCGGAGAAAUCCAGGUCGGUUUCUAUCUGUAAAUUCAUUUCUCCCAGUACGAAAGGACAAGAGAAAUAGGGCCAACGUCCAAAUAAGCCCUAGAACCAACAUAUGAAUAAAUCUAAAUAUACUAAGCCAAUUCAUAUACACUCUAGAACAGGUUGUUAAGA